UAGCAGAGCGGAGCUGGGCCUCUGGAAGUGGCUGAGGAAAGAAAAGAACUCUAAAAGACUGAUUUCUUCUUCACCCCGUGCAUCAAUUUCAGCAGAAACAAAAGAAGAGCCUCAUCAGAAAGAUCCCUGAAGCAGACAAACCUCAUAGGUCUCAUAGGCAUAACACUCCAGCUCACACAAUGCUGUACCUUCCAUUGGAUUUAGGGAGCUGAGGAGUGGCCUGGGAGCUGUUAUUCUGCUUCCCCCAAAGAGCAGCUCUGCUUGCUGAUCCUCCUGCUUCAUUUUAAAAGAAGUCCCUCUCUGGGGCACUCUGGGUGUAUGAGAAUAAUGUAGAGCUCACGGCGGUGGCUGAGCACUACACGACUACUGUGCGAGCCUGGCACAAACAAAUCGGAGUCAUUCGUGACCACUGCCCCAUGGAGAGCUCCACAAAGCACCACGGAGAGCUGGCUGCUGCUGCUCACCCCGCACACUGCUUGGGAGGAGCUGGCUGACAUUCAUCGUGUGCCAUCCAUCACGCCAGAGGACAGGCAGCAGUGUCAUUGUGGGCAUUCCUGGCGUGUCACCGCCGCUGGGAUUCAUUCCGUGCGGCUUCUCGGGUAUAGCUUGGAGCCCAUUGCAAGGAGCGGUGAGGAUGGGAGCUGGCCCCACAGUGCUUGUGACGAAUCAAGUAGGACUAGAUGAUCUUAGCGGUCUUUCCAACCUUUAUGAUUCUAUGAAUCUAAGUGCUGCAUCCAAGCAGGACCUCUGGCAGCUCUUCAGGCAUGAGUGGGGAUUAGCAUCAGCUUAGAGCAGAAGCGUUGAGACCUCCUAUCUCCAUCAGACCCCCCUUGUGCCCUAUGCCAUGCUUGUCCAAGCUGCGUUGCUCUUCUUGCUCACCAGUGGAUGCCGCCAAGAAGUGAAGCACAGGCUCCGAGCAGGAGCCUCCCGCAGCACGAAAGGGUUAAGCUGUGUUGUUCAUUGUCACAUGGUGCUGGGAAUGCAGAGGCAGCGAGAGGCUGGGGAGCACAUCUUGACUGCACAUGUGGCCUCUACCACAAACACUUCAAAGUGCUUCCCUCAGACUGACGGAACAGCCUGACGCCGACUGUAAAUGCCCUUGACACGCAGAGUGGAAAAUAUCAAACGCUUCGGCAGUCCCCCCGAAACGCAGCCUGUUUUCACUGGGGAAGGCCUUAAUGAACCUGUGCGGGAGAGGAGGAGGGCCAGGCGGAUGGCGGUGGGACGGGUGGUUCUCAUUUAGCUCAUGUACGGGUACACGCCAGCCUGGGCAACUGGACUUAAUCGGAGGUGAAGCCGAGUGCUCUGGGAUAUUUUGAGAGGGGCCGAGACAUCGACUGCAGGCGGUUCCGUGUCAGGACCCCGCCGUACUCACUCCUCCCUGCCCCGUCACCUGAGCACCACUGCACAAUUAGGAACAAAGGGGCAUCCAGGCUGGAGGAUUUUCCCUUUUCUUCAGAAGUCUUCACCUCUUUCACCCUCAGCUGUGAAAUGUCUGCUCCAGCCAGGUGCUCUGUGACACCAGCAUCAUGUCCAGCCCCAAAGGAAGCCGGACUGGCAAGGGACGUCCCCGCCUCUGGGAGGGAAGAUCCAUCCACCUUGGGCUGUGGAACGGGCAGGCCAUGGUAACAUUGGACAGGGAAGAUUUUGACUAGAUAUAAGAUUUUACAAUAAGGAUGGUGAGGCACUGGCACAGGCUGCCCAGAGAGGUGGUGGUGCCCUGUCCCUGCAGACAGCCAAGGUCAGCCUGGACAGGGCUCUGAAUACCUGAUGGAGCUCUAGGUGUCCUGUUCAGUAAAGGGAGGUUGGACCAGAUGGCCUCUAAUGUUUCCUUCCAACUCAAACAAUUCUAUAAUUUUAUGAUUCCAUGACUGGGAACACCCUUUGUGAAGAAGGUGUCCUCCCUUGGUGACCCAGACCAUGUAUCUCAUGUGUCUGGCAGCUGGUUUUGAGUAGAUUUUACCCUUGCUGCAUGAAAACCUAAGUUAUGGGCAGAAAACAUGGGCCUGCGCUGGUGAAAGCGGUGUCAGACACCAACGUGUGGCUCUUGACCACCUCUUAACCGUGAGUUAACAUCAAGACCACUGAAACCCUCCCCCAUGACCCAUGUUGAGUUGGAUCCUCAUGAAUGGUGGCUGACAGGGCCUGGCCUGUGACAGAGGAGGGGGCAGCAAGGCAGCAGGCCUGCAUGCGGUCUGCCUGGCUCUGGCACAGCUUACAUCGCUGCACGGCUGAACGGCGCUUGGCUGGCUGCAGGCAGGGAUCCAUCACUUAUGACACAUUUGGCAUGAGUGAAAUUGCCUCAUAAAAUGCUUCUCAGAUCAGCAGCAACUUGAGGGACCUCAGGAGGGAAGAGAAAAGGAGGAAAGUUCAGAUGUUCAGCUGCAAGGUCCCAUACCUCUUGGAAGCAAAAGCAGACGGGGAAGGAGACCACCAAGGGGCGAAAGGUGUAAUGAAGGGGUAAAGCAAAGGUGUUGCAGCUCACAAAGCUUCAUCCUUGCUUUCGGAGGGAGCAUAGAAGUUGGACCACCUCCAUCUCCUUGGGAGAGCAACCAGUAUUCCAGAUAACAACGAGGUAGAGCAGUUAAGAGGGCUUUAAUGGAGCAUCUUUGGGGAACAAUAAUAAGAGGGUAAACAGAAGACGUAGGCGCCACCAUAAACUGCUGACUGCUGGCAGCGUGGAUGUGAAAAAGCAAACCUGGAAGCCUGGGCAGUAAACAACAGGAGGUAAGAAUAGCCACCAGUGGAGAAAAAUAAUAAUAAAAAUGAGUUGGUAUUUCAGAAACUACGUGGGAAGGUUCAGCUGUGGCUGGAUUUCCCAGCACCAUUCUGUUCGGAGGAGAUGCUGCUGCCUUCUUUAGGGUUACAGCUUCGGUGCUGGGGGCAGGGCUGGGGCGCGGGGUCCUGGCGCGCUGACGGCUGAAGAUGGAUGGAUGGCCGAGCUGCAGAUGGAUGGCUGCUGUCAGCUGGUGGCCGGCCUCGCCAGCCCGGGAAGGGAAGCAGACUCCAUGCCCAGUCCUUUUAAAGGCUUUUGCCUCGGGUUAUGAUUUAUUGUUAGAAAACAAAGGAUGUUUAAGAAGAAGGAAAAAAAAAAAAGGCAACACAAAAUAAAACAUCUCAAUUGAUGAAAGCUGCCUUCGGUCCCUAGUGGCUUUUCCCCCUCUUGUUGAGCCUGGGAGCCGAGGAGGGUUGCAUCCCCCCACAAAUCACAGCUCCUUCUGCCUUUUGGGCUUGCAUCUCUCCAGCCUGGUGACGGGCAGGGACUGCGUAACCUAUCCCCAGGCUGUCAGCGUGCCAGCGAGCAUGACACCAUGCAUGAGCUCUGACCACUACUAUUUAUAUGCAGCGAGGGACCAGAUUUUUAAAAGCACAGAGGUGCCCAGCUCUAGACCCUAGCUCUGGAAAAAGAACAACUUCCCUAGGCUGGAAAUAGUUAGAAGCAAAAUUAG
Gallus gallus (chicken) is the source of this 3449-nucleotide long non-coding RNA. Lineage: Eukaryota; Metazoa; Chordata; Aves; Galliformes; Phasianidae. The record is from Ensembl.